GCGACCGUGGCGGAAUUGGUAGACGCACUACCUUGAGGUGGUAGCGCCGUGAGGCGUGGAAGUUCGAGUCUUCUCGGUCGCACCA
Molecule: transfer RNA, 85 nt
Filed under: Azospirillum brasilense
Lineage: Bacteria; Pseudomonadati; Pseudomonadota; Alphaproteobacteria; Rhodospirillales; Azospirillaceae
Description: tRNA-Leu
Rfam family: tRNA
About the family: Transfer RNA (tRNA) molecules are approximately 80 nucleotides in length.
Source: RNAcentral